This 2596-nucleotide long non-coding RNA is filed under the name Neogale vison (American mink). Its description in RNAcentral is "Neovison vison (American mink) lncRNA (ENSNVIG00000011896.1)". Lineage: Eukaryota; Metazoa; Chordata; Mammalia; Carnivora; Mustelidae. The record is from RNAcentral.
CUGUUGACCACCUCCCGAAGCAAAAUACACCGGAAGAAUUUGUUGUAACAAGUAGACGCCCAUAUUCACCAACUGGUUUGGCAAUCUACCAUCUACAGCAAGGCUCCAACAAGGGAGGGGCAGAAGAAUAUGGUAUAAUUGUUCUAAACUAUCUUUCUACGAAAUUGGGAAGGUUCACGAGGCCAUGAGUGAUAGGGGAGCAAAGACAAACAGCCCAUCCCUAAGUUUUAAGCAGGAGAGGGAGCCUCCUCGCCAUCCGGGCUUACAAUGUAUUCAUCUCAGAGAUAAGCUUUCAUGCCCUGACACUUGUAGGGAGAUACUGGGUUCUGGGGCUCCCCAGUCCUAAAUGAAAAAUACCGUGGCCUGGAUAUUAAGGAGACUUGAUUUUACUACCUCCAGGAGGGUCCGCCUGCCGUUCCGGGGCAGCCUCCAGGAUCUCCGCCCGCGGGGUCCCACCGAGCGCCCCCACGCCCACCCUUCCAGCGAGGUGUUUGGCCAAGGCCUGCCUCACGGGCUCCGGGCAGCACCCACCCAUCCCCCUCCCCAGGUCUCAGACAAGCAGCCUAGUUAAUCAUUCAACGCCGGCGGCGUGAAACAAUUUUUUAGAGGUCAACGCGAAAGGUUCUCGGUAAGUUUCACAGAAACCAGCCUUUGGGGACCCGGAGGUGGCAGCGGUAGGCAGAUGGGGGUGGGGAGCGGCGGCGGGCGGCUCUUUGGCUCACAAAACACCUGAUCUCCCCAUGCGGCAACCGAGACCAGCGCAGUGCGAGGGUGGGGUGACGGGGUGCGAGUGAGAAAUCACACACGGCCCCCUCCCCAAAACGCCCGUGGAAGCCAGGUGAGGACGCCGGCCCCAGACGCCCCUUCCCAAUGCCGACAUCACCCCCGCGCGGGCUCCCCCGGAAGUUGGGGUGCAGCGAGGAGGGGGGAUGUCCCAGGGCCCCGUGAGGGUGGGGGUGAAACAGGACAAGAGACUAAAAAGACAUGCUGCUCCUGGUUUCGCUAUCCUCUUCCUCCAGGGUAAGGAAGCCGGAGGGAAGCGGGGACGCCUAAAUGCGGCGGGAGCCACCCGGGAACGGUUUCCUCCUAUGGCGCGCCGGUACGAAGCCGGAACCGGCGAGGAACGGGACUGCGAGGGAGAGGAGUCAGUGCGGAGCCGGGGGAAGCGCGAAGCAGAGAUGGAAAGGAGGCCGCCCCUCUUGCGGUGCGCCUGAUGUUGGGGGACUAAGCCUACAGCCUGGGUAGGACUCCAGUGACCUUUUCCAGCCAGAACCAGUUUGUGACUGGGCCUAGACUGGACCACAGCCGGCGUUCCAGUGCUUGGGUGCGUGCACCCCUGCAAAACCCGGAGUUCCACUGGGGAAGGGAGAACCAGGGCCAGAGUGGGACUUGACCAUUGCUCUCUGCCCACCCAAUACUUGCCACCAUCUCUUAGAUCCCCCAAAUAACGCCGUAGAGCCCAAGGCCUACACUGGUGCCCUACUUAGCACUGCCACCCGAUCUUCGAAUUUGUGAAGCUGCCCAGGAACUGGUGAGGGGGAAGUUUUAGUUCUGCUCCUUGUGGUGUCUUACAGAGAAUUUCCUCGAGGUUCCACGCGCGUCUUGGAAGCCAGAAAAGCAAGGUGUCCAGACGCUGCGCCUUCAACCCGCGCCGCCGCCCAGAAGUGCAGGGCAGACACCUAGGAGCUGAACUCUGACACACACCUUCGGCUCCCCACUACCGGGUGAGGACUUGGCGUCUACGACUCCCGCCGGCCGAAACACCUGGAACCACAGACGCACCUCGGCCCAGCGCCCCUGCUGGCUCGCCAGAGCACUGCAUUCUAAGGUGAGUCCCUGACUCUGGACCCGAGUUUGGGGACCCCAGGUAAGCCUAGCGCAACCUGAUGGGGAGGUUGCGCAGGUCUGAAAGGCUGGGCGCAGCCAGCUUGUCACGCGCGUGCUCCGUGGGGAGGCAAGCUUGGCCCGAGGCCCAUCUCAAAGCACCUCCGUCUGUUGGUCCUUAUCUCUUCAGGAAGAAAGAGAUCCCCUUUACCUGACCAGACCGACCAGACCCGGCAAUUAAGGACACUCCACCUUCAAAUAUGUGCAUUUUUCAGAAGGCUUUCUGAGGAGGAAUUAGCCGAAGGGGAAAGAAAUGUAAAUGCAGGGAUUUCGGGCACCUAGGAGUUCAGCCUUUUCCACUGUGGGCCCUUACUCUGAUCCAAGCUCCGAGCAAAAGAGUAUUUUGCAGCUGGAUGCACUGAGCCACGUGGGUACACGCUUUUAGAAACAGGAAUUCGAAGUCAGACCUGGGAAAAUUUUUAUUUUCAGCCUUCAGACCUUUUUGCUUUUAUGUUGAUCCCAUGAUUCUCCUAAGACUGAAACAUGAAAGUUCAAGAAACCAGUUGGAUUUUGUAUAUUCAUAGAAAAACAAAAAGGAUGCACACUGACUGCUAACCACGGGUAUCCCAAGUGUGGGAUUGGAGUGUGGGAAGGAGGGAGAUGAAUUUUAUACCCUUAUACUGACUCUGCAUUUUGUAUUUUUCCAGUUAUAUUAACUGUCACAAUUUAGAAAGGUAAUAAAACAUUUUUUAAGAAAUAUAGAAAUUAAAAA